AACCACACUAUCAAUGAAUGAAUUCACCCGCGAGAUGAUGUGACUGUUUCAACUAGGACGAGAACAUGGCAUCCUAUUACCAGCCAUCGCAUGAAAUUAAUAGGAUGCCACGUCAUCAUCUAGAUAAAACAACCACGUCAUCUCACGGGUGAAUCCAUUUAUCGAUAGUGUGGUU
Oryza glumipatula is the source of this 175-nucleotide non-coding RNA. The record is from Rfam. Lineage: Eukaryota; Viridiplantae; Streptophyta; Magnoliopsida; Poales; Poaceae.